UACAGAGGUCUCAAGCGUUGUUCGGAUUCAUUGGGCGUAAAGGGUGCGUAGGCGGCGCGGUAAGUCGGGUGUGAAAUUUCGAGGCUUAACUUCGAAACUGCAUUCGAUACUGCCGUGCUUGAGGACUGGAGAGGAGACUGGAAUUUACGGUGUAGCGGUGAAAUGCGUAGAUAUCGUAAGGAAGACCAGUGGCGAAGGCGGGUCUCGUGGACAGUUCCUGACACUGAGGCACGAAGGCCAGGGGAGCAAACGGG
This 254-nucleotide ribosomal RNA is filed under the name uncultured bacterium. RNAcentral describes it as "partial 16S ribosomal RNA". It matches the Rfam family "Bacterial small subunit ribosomal RNA", at positions 524 to 776 of the family's 1533-position model. The record is from RNAcentral.